RNAcentral lists this ribosomal RNA (636 nucleotides) under uncultured bacterium. RNAcentral describes it as "bacterial SSU rRNA". It matches the Rfam family "Bacterial small subunit ribosomal RNA", at positions 751 to 1388 of the family's 1533-position model. The record is from RNAcentral.
GCUNGAAAGCGUGGGUAGCAAACAGGAUUAGAUACCNUGGUAGUCCACGCCCUAAACGAUGUCAAUUAGCUGUUGGGCAACUUGAUUGUUCAGUAGCGUAGCUAACGCGUGAAAUUGNCCGCCUGGGGAGUACGGUCGCAAGAUUAAAACUCAAAGGAAUUGACGGGGANCCGCACAAGCGGUGGAUGAUGUGGAUUAAUUCGAUGCAACGCGAAGAACCUUACCUGGUCUUGACAUGUACGGAAUCCUCCAGAGACGGAGGAGUGCCUUCGGGAGCCGUAACACAGGUGNUGCAUGGCUGUCGUCAGCUCGUGUCGUGAGAUGUUGGGUUAAGUCCCGCAACGAGCGCAACCCUUGUCAUUAGUUGCCAUCAUUCAGUUGGGCACUCUAAUGAGACUGCCGGUGACAAGCCGGAGGAAGGUGGGGAUGACGUCAAGUCCUCAUGGCCCUUAUGACCAGGGCUUCACACGUCAUACAAUGGUCGGUACAGAGGGUAGCCAAGCCGCGAGGUGGAGCCAAUCUCACAAAACCGAUCGUAGUCCGGAUUGCACUCUGCAACUNGAGUGCAUGAAGUCGGAAUCGCUAGUAAUCGCAGGUCAGCAUACUGCGGUGAAUACGUUCCCGGGUNUUGUACAC